CGCGUAAGAUCGACGCAAUCGCGAAGACCAUCACCUGAAUAUUGACGUCCUUGUGAAUAUUCCGUAAGUUGGAAUCGUGCACUCGUGAGCACAGUGACAGGUCAUGCAUGGCUGUCAUCAGCUCGUGUCGUGAGAUCAAUGAGUACGUCCAGCAACGAGCGCAACCAGUAUCUAUAGGUGCCAGCGUGUAAUAGCGUGAACUCUAGAGCAGACUACCCGGCUUAACCGAGAGGCAAGGCGGCGAUGACCGUCAUGUCCUCAUCUCCACUCUAGCCACAGCUACACACGCGCUACAACGCGUUACCACAGACGGGCAGCGAACCCGUGACGGUGAGCGAAUCCCUAAAGUGUAUCUCAGACCGGAUUCGAGACUGCAACUCGACUCCAUGAAGUUGGAAUCGAUCGUAAUCGCGGAUCAGCAUGCCGCGGUGCACAUGUUCCCGCACCCUAUACACACCACCCGUCACACCAU
This 472-nucleotide ribosomal RNA is filed under the name uncultured delta proteobacterium. Its description in RNAcentral is "bacterial SSU rRNA". It matches the Rfam family "Bacterial small subunit ribosomal RNA", at positions 938 to 1405 of the family's 1533-position model. Lineage: Bacteria; Deltaproteobacteria. The record is from RNAcentral.